AUAUACACACAAUACAUACAUUCAUAUAUGUACAUACACAGACACAUAUAUACAUAUAUGUGAACGUAAAAUCUAAAUGUUGGUCUUCAGUCUUCAGUGUACCCAAGUUGCUGAUUAAUCUCAUUGUCAAUCUGUUUCUCCAAAAUUUCCCAGUAAACCCGGACAUACCAUAAGCUGUCACAGGGACCCGGAUUUUGAAGCAUCUCAGUCAGUAUUUGGCGAACCUGGAGGUCUUCUGUAUAAGGUGUUCUCUAUAAGUCCAAAGGUCUAUUACUGUAUUCUAGACAGUGCAAGUCAGCUUCUCAGGAAAUGAAAAUAAAAUGACGCAGUGUGGCUUCUCCAACAUUGGUUCUAGGAUCCCCCGAGCUUCCCCCUGAUUCUGACCUUGAGUUUUCUGUUUUCAGUCUUACUGCUCUUGUCACACCUAACUCAGCUCUAUCUUGAGACCAAGAAUCGUGCUUAGAGGCCUGACCUGCUUCCCUCAUAACUGCCUGUCUGGACUGUUUUUAUCAACAGAUAAGUGGAUUCCAUGACCCCUGUGAGCUAAAGUUACAGGGAGGACAGCCCUGAAGCCAUCUGGUCCCCUGGCCUUGAACAUCCAUUAUCAUGUUUACUCAAGCAACAAUGUCAAAGGAGAUCCUUUCAGAGACUGCAUUUCUGAGGAGUGAUUUUUACAUCUAUUAUAUGGCAUUUCCAUAAAACGUCAUCAUCGCGGUAAUCAUUACAACACUCCUACAUGGGAAAUCAGGAGAACAAAGGAAGUUUACCCAAACCUCAAGACUCCGAGUAUCAGGGACACCACCUAGAAAGAAAACCUGCUAAACACUUCUGCUGAACUUCCGCUGCUGACUCUUGAACCAAACACGGCAUGAAGAGUGUGGCCUCUCCAAAAGCUGGGAGCUCCGGUGUGGGGGACCGAAAGUAACGCGAAUCCGAUUCCUGAACUCCAGGCUGCACAGCAUCUGGCAAAGCUUCUGAGAACCCUCCUGGACUACUCCUCCAUCCUGCUGAGGAACUAGUUAACUUGAUCCCUUAUGGGGUAUGGGCAGAGGAGGAGGCAAUGGGGUUAAACAUCACUGCUUGGCCUUGAGCUCCAAGACAUCCCAGCCCCUGGCUCCAUAUUCUUGGCUUCUUAACAGUUUGCGCUGAGGGUGCAGGUGAGGUAGAAGGUGUCCUGUUUUUGCUGCAUCUGUGUGCUGGUAAAGAUGACCCUUCAUGGUGGCUUAAGCCUGCUGUCCUGACCUGGAACCAGCCUUCUCCUUCAUGUGUUAGACAGUCUCCAUCAGGGCUGACAGCUGAGAUUGUCGCUAACUAACCUCUGUCUUCAAUACUUUAUUCCAUUUUUCUGGGACAAUCACAAUCACAUGGCAAUGCUUCCAAAGUGUCUAAGGACCCAGCGAUAUGAUCUGCUGUGAACUUUGCAAUCUUUUCCUGUGAAAAGACUUGAUCUCCACAUUCUACAGUGAGUGGAGUUUUCUCCCUACUUUCUCUCUUUUUUUUCUUUUCUAAUAUUCGAUUUUAGGAUAUAA
This is a long non-coding RNA of Mastomys coucha (southern multimammate mouse), 1529 nucleotides long. RefSeq lists it as uncharacterized. The record is from RefSeq and is a predicted model, not a curated record. The transcript is spliced from 4 exons. Lineage: Eukaryota; Metazoa; Chordata; Mammalia; Rodentia; Muridae.